UUUAUUGAAAAUUAAUAAAUACAUGAAUUUAACUAUUUUCAGAAAUUUCAAUGAUACUAACACUUUCAUCCUGAUGUAUAUGAGAAGGCAAAAUAAAAUUAUAUGGUGUACAUUAACAACAAUUACUCAACAUAUGUUAAUGACAGGAACAUGUUUUUCAUUUGCUAGUAACUUCAACAGUUGAUUUAACUGUGAUACUCAACAAUAUUCAUUACCUUUCUGAAUAAUUUCAUAUUGAUUAAUUUUCCAGUCUUGCCCAGAAUUAUAUAAAAGAAGUUUGUGUAAGAGAGGCUUUGUUGUCAAUCGUCUCAAAAACCUUAAAAUUAAGGUACAGUGAAUCGGAGGUUUUACUGACAGACACUGAAGAUCAGUCAGUAAUUGUGGCUUUGGAGAGGGGUUUUAAGAAAUGUAAGAUGAACAAAGAAAAGUGGUGUGGGAAGCUAGAUUCUUUUAAGGAAAGCAGAAUAAUAGCAUAAUGGAGUUCUGUACAGUAUUAUUCCUGCUACUUCAGUCAGAUGAUUAUCAUAAACAACAUGGAAAUAAACAAUUUAUUUGUUAAUAUAUUUUAUGAAACAGUUAGUAUGUAGAAGGCACGGAUGGACACCAAGAAUAGAACAACCAUCUGCUUAUCUUUAUGAUAUGACUACUUUAAACAAAGUGCCAACAUCUCUUAAAUGGGAAGACAACAAAAUGAAUAUUUUUAUAUAUUGUACAAAUCAUAAAUAAAGUUGUUUUCUUCCAUAAUUGUCUAAUAUGGCUUUGGAAUAUUUGAUUGUUCCUAUAAAAUUUGAAUUAUAAUUACAAAUGUGUUAUGCAUUACAUCAAUUUCACAUUUUUGUGUAGACACUUACAUGGGCCAUUUAGAUUUGCCCUUGUCCGUCCGUUCUCAUGUUGUGUCACACUUAACUCAAAAAGUAUUUGACCUAGAGUCAUAAAACUUUACAGGAAAAUUAGUCAGCAUGUUUAUUUGUAAACUGGGUGUUUGUAUGU
This is a long non-coding RNA of Ruditapes philippinarum (Manila clam), 990 nucleotides long. RefSeq lists it as uncharacterized. The transcript is spliced from 3 exons. NCBI's taxonomy places the organism in Eukaryota, Metazoa, Mollusca, Bivalvia, Venerida, Veneridae. The record is from RefSeq and is a predicted model, not a curated record.